This 301-nucleotide ribosomal RNA is filed under the name uncultured bacterium. Its description in RNAcentral is "partial 16S ribosomal RNA". It matches the Rfam family "Bacterial small subunit ribosomal RNA", at positions 509 to 807 of the family's 1533-position model. The record is from RNAcentral.
CAGCCGCCGCGGUAAUACGAAGGGUGCAAGCGUUAAUCGGAAUUACUGGGCGUAAAGCGUGCGUAGGCGGUUUGUUAAGUCUGCUGUGAAAUCCCCGGGCUCAACCUGGGAAUGGCAGUGGAUACUGGCAAGCUAGAGUGUGUCAGAGGAUGGUGGAAUUCCCGGUGUAGCGGUGAAAUGCGUAGAGAUCGGGAGGAACAUCAGUGGCGAAGGCGGCCAUCUGGGACAACGCUGACGCUGAGGCACGAAAGCGUGGGGAGCAAACAGGAUUAGAUACCCCCGUAGUCCCUGUCUCUUAUAC